AGAGGGGUGCAAGCGUUAAUCGGAAUUACUGGGCGUAAAGAGUACGUAGGUGGAUUAUCAAGUUGGGUUGUGAAAUUUCCGGGCUUAACCUGGACAGGUCAAUCAAUACUGGUAGUCUAGAGUGCAAUAGAGGGUAGUGGAAUUUCCGGUGUAGCGGUGAAAUGCGUAGAGAUCGGAAGGAACACCAGUGGCGAAGGCGACUACCUGGAUUGACACUGACACUGAGGUACGAAAGCGUGGGGAGCAAACAGGAUUAGAUACCCUGGUAGUCCACGCCGUAAACGAUGACAACUAGCCGUUGGGAGCUUUUUUGCUUUCAGUGGCGUAGCUAACGCGCUAAGUUGUCCGCCUGGGGAGUACGGCCGCAAGGCUA
This 373-nucleotide ribosomal RNA is filed under the name uncultured organism. RNAcentral describes it as "partial 16S ribosomal RNA". It matches the Rfam family "Bacterial small subunit ribosomal RNA", at positions 526 to 896 of the family's 1533-position model. The record is from RNAcentral.